Clupea harengus (Atlantic herring) is the source of this 903-nucleotide long non-coding RNA. The record is from Ensembl. NCBI's taxonomy places the organism in Eukaryota, Metazoa, Chordata, Actinopteri, Clupeiformes, Clupeidae.
CAGAGACAACGGGCUGCCUCGCUAAACGAUGCACACCUGUAACUCACGUGACCCUGGUUAUUAUUGAAACGAGAACGAGGGCGUCGUGCCUUUAUAAGACUGCGUUAAUGGUUCCGUGGAGUUAUCCCUUCCGUUGUUGUUUAUUGAUUGUUAAACAUGGCUUCAUUUACAAAGGUGGUUGUGUGUGUCCUCAUUGCUUGUGUCUGUAAUGCAUUCGGUUUUCCGAAGAGAGAUGUGAACUUUAAGGCCUCUGCAGUUGACCGCCAAAGUGAUGAUGUGGUUGUCACCACAACAGCCGUUCCCCACAACCAGACCACCUCUGCCCCUACUGAAGCUGGUGAUGGAGCAAGUGAAGAUGCUGUGGCUACUACCCCAGCACCUAAUCCACACAACCAGACAACUUCUGCACAAACUGAAGUUACUGAUGGGGCCAGUGAAGAUGCUGUGGACCGCCAAAGUGAUGAUGUGGUUGUCGCCACAACACCCAAUCCCCACAACCAGACCACAUCUGCCCCUACUGAAGCUGAUGGAGCAGGUGAAGAUGAUUCAGAUGAUGAUGAUGAUGCAGAUGAUGAUGCAAGUGACGAUGAUGCAGAUGAUGAUGAUGCAAGUGAUGAUGCUGUGGCUACCACCCCAACACCAAAUCCACCAACUACAUCUGACCGCACUGCAGCUACCGAUGAUGCAAGUGAGGGUGCUGUGGCUGCCCACACUGGAACUACUGUAUCCCAUACGACUGAAGUCUGAUUCGACUGCUCCUCUGGUCACAAUGACCUGUCUGGACUUUUUGCCUCUACAUGUUGACUGCAAUAAAGGACAGAUUUGUAUUUUUUAAUCAAAUGUUGUCUUGCCUUUUUCAAAUUGAGGCCUUGUCCUGUUUUGGUAGUGGAGAUGACUAUGAAG